Molecule: ribosomal RNA, 411 nt
Filed under: Triticum aestivum (bread wheat)
Lineage: Eukaryota; Viridiplantae; Streptophyta; Magnoliopsida; Poales; Poaceae
Description: partial small subunit ribosomal RNA
Source: RNAcentral
AUGACGACGGAUAGACGACAUGUAAUUAACCUGGGGAGAAAAGGCCACCAAAAUUAUGAGGUUUACUCUGCCAAUAGCCCUGAUCUGAAUGGCCUUGACCUUGGGUUCUUCAACUCGUUGCAAUCUCUAACAGAUUGUCUAAGCCCUAGAACGCUUCAAGAUCUUAUCAAGGGUGUGCUAGAUGAAUUUGAAAACUAUGAGGUUUACAAGCUGAACAGAGUUUUCCUAUCUCUACAAGCUUGCAUGGUUGAAAUCUUGAACCAUGCAGGGGGCAAUGGGUAUAAAAUACCCCAUGCGAACAAGGAAAGGCUAGAGAACCUUGGGAUGCUACCUCCAAGACUUACAUGCCCUCCAGAGGUAUAUGCAAAUGCCCUGCACAAUCUUGGGAUAAUGGAGAGAGUUGCUUGUUGA